GGUAUCAUCGCAUGAAUACGUAGUUACAACAUCGCCUGAACUCGUAAUUCAUAGUAAGGGGUUAGGGUAUCAUCGCAUGAAUACGUAGUUACAACAUCGCCUGAACUCGUAAUUCAUCACCUACAGGUUAUGAGCCUGCUGGUGUUUCCACGGGGUUGUCUAUAUUAGUCCGUGGUCGCCAUCUAUACUCUGGUAGAUGACUACAUCUCCAAAUUGUCGGACAAGGUUGUAGUAUUCCACUUCACCGAUUCAUCAUCACCUAUCUAUCCUCACCUAAUUAUCAACACCUAUUUCUCAUUAUUUUAUUUCAUCUCACACCAACUAUUUCAUCUACCCGUGUGUUAUCCCAACAUAUUAGUAGAUAUAAAUAUACAGUUUAAAUCAUUUAAAACAUGUAUAAAACGUUCAUCCAGCAUAGACAGCAAGUAUUCAGAUAAUAUGCACACAUAGCACGUAGUUUAUAUAAAAUACUUCAUAUCUAUGUGUAAGAUGAAAGGGACUAUGCACUCACAUGAAAGGUGGUGACUCAGCACUCGGACAGCACUUCGAUACUCUCAAAACGAUUUUCCUUCAAUAAAACCUAGUACCAAUAUCACUAGGGUUUAGUCUAACGAUAACCGCGACAAAUUAAUUAGUCUGACUAUUAUUAAGCGUUAAUAACACUCAAUAUAACUCAUAAUAAUAGCCCAAAUAAUUAUUGUAAGGACCUAAUAACAUUCCUAUAAUUAUAUGAAAGCUAUAUUAAAAAUUGAGUAAGCGUAGCACACUUACAGCGAAUUUUAUCGAAACCCGGAACUUAAUUGGAGUAGCGUUUCGAAACCGAAAGGCUCUUUUUCUCGGGACUCCGAGAGCCUCGGGGCUUCCCUCGGGAGCUAGGGGUUUUAUCUAGGGCUUAGGGAUGGUUUGGGAUCUUAGAGAGAGAAUGAAACCAGAGAGAGAAAGGAUUUUGGUGCAUGAAACUCGGCAGCCUUCGCUGCCUUUUAUAGGCGCUCAGCUUCAGUUAUGCUGGGCGUUCGGACUCAGCUACGCUGGGCGUAAUGCUCAGAUAAGGGUGCCAACGAGCCUCUAGUUGUCUCGCAUUCGGAAGGGAUAAGAACCGAAGUAUGAUGGGCGUACCCGGCCUCGGACGCGGGGCGUAGAUGCGAGGCGACGUGUCAAGAUCCGAAGCGAAGCCUUGGUCAGCAAGCAAUGGUUGAGAUUUGGCCACGUCAUCUCAGUUCGCAAUUUUCCUUCUCGACUUCUAAAAAUCAUAACUUUCGCAUACGGGCUCCUUUUUCGACGUUCUUUAUAUCCACGCGAAGGUGGGAACAUACUCUACAACUUCCGUUUAGACUCCAUCGGCUAAUUUUGACUCAAUUUUAAAUUUUAUAUUAUGAACAGGCCGGGACACGAUUGGUCCGUUAAAUUCUCAUAACUUCUUCAUCUGACGUCCGUUUUCGCCCAUCUUUUUCUUGUUAUGCUACCCUUAACGAGAUCUUCGAUUCUCGUUUAGGUCAUGUUGGCUAAAAAUCGCUCGAUCUAAUAUUCGAAUUUCGGGUUCUACACUGCUAAUCCGAAACUUCGAAAAAUCAUAACUUCUUCAUACGAAGUCAGAUUUGGACGUUCUUUUUAUCGAUGUUCUUAGUUUAAUGUAUUCUACGACUUUCGUUUAGAUCGCUAAGGCUAAAUUUCACUCUAUCAUAAAUUCACUAUUUACGCUUCCCGGUGUCGUGUCUAUUCCGUCGCGAAACUUCGACGGGUCAUAACUUCUUCGUUAUAACUCGGAUUUUGGCAUUCUUUAUAUGUACGGAAAUCUUGUGACAUAUUCUACAACUUGGUUCUAAAUAAUCUUUUGUCUAUAAGUUGUUUUCGACCCCUAUUGCCUCUAAAUUGACUAGCCCGGAUCUGUGGGCGUUACAAUUAUCUCCCCCUUAGGAUGAUUACGUCCCGGAAUCAUCAACGAAACAGGGCUCGUAUAAUGACUCCAUACGUCAUCUCUUCAUCCUAGGUAAUAAUUAUAACUUCUAUAUUCCUUUAAGUCUAUCUCUUAGACUCAUUGACUGUAAGCAGUACUCGAUCGUGCACCUGCUCUCUACCUCAGGCUAGACUCCAAAUUAUGACCUUCAAGUCACAAUNUAUACAGUUUAAAUCAUUUAAAACAUGUAUAAAACGUUCAUCCAGCAUAGACAGCAAGUAUUCAGAUAAUAUGCACACAUAGCACGUAGUUUAUAUAAAAUACUUCAUAUCUAUGUGUAAGAUGAAAGGGACUAUGCACUCACAUGAAAGGUGGUGACUCAGCACUCGGACAGCGCUUCGAUACUCUCAAAACGAUUUUCCUUCAAUAAAACCUAGUACCAAUAUCACUAGGGUUUAGUCUAACGAUAACCGCGACAAAUUAAU
RNAcentral lists this long non-coding RNA (2379 nucleotides) under Lactuca sativa (garden lettuce). RNAcentral describes it as "long non-coding RNA (LSAT_LNC005049)". Lineage: Eukaryota; Viridiplantae; Streptophyta; Magnoliopsida; Asterales; Asteraceae. The record is from RNAcentral.